UGUGUGAUUGCUGGAUUGUAGGGUAGGUUUAUGUUUAACUUUAUAAAGAACUACUAAACUGUUUUCCAAAAUUUCUGUACCAUUUUGAAUUCCCAUCAUCAAU
Molecule: microRNA precursor, 103 nt
Filed under: Marmota monax (woodchuck)
Lineage: Eukaryota; Metazoa; Chordata; Mammalia; Rodentia; Sciuridae
Source: RNAcentral